This 226-nucleotide ribosomal RNA is filed under the name uncultured bacterium. Its description in RNAcentral is "partial 16S ribosomal RNA". It matches the Rfam family "Bacterial small subunit ribosomal RNA", at positions 521 to 745 of the family's 1533-position model. The record is from RNAcentral.
UAAUACGGGGGGAGCAAGCGUUGUUCGGAUUUACUGGGCGUAAAGGGCGCGUAGGCGGUCAUGACAAGUCACUUGUGAAAUCUCCGGGCUUAACUCGGAACGGUCAAGUGAUACUGUCAGACUAGAGUGCAGAAGGGGCAACUGGAAUUCUCGGUGUAGCGGUGAAAUGCGUAGAUAUCGAGAGGAACACCUGCGGCGAAGGCGGGUUGCUGGGCUGACACUGACG